AACGAACGCUGGCGGCAUGCCUAACACAUGCAAGUCGAACGAGACCUUCGGGUCUAGUUGCGCACGGGUGCGUAACGCGUGGGAACCUGCCCUUAGGUUCGGAAUAACUCCCCGAAAGGGGUGCUAAUACCGGAUAAUGUCUUCGGACCAAAGAUUUAUCGCCUUUGGAUGGGCCCGCGUUGGAUUAGCUAGUUGGUAGGGUAAAGGCCGACCAUGGCGACGAUUCAUAGCUGGUCUGAGAGGAUGACCAGCCCCACUGGGAUCGAGACACGGCCCAGACUCAUAAGGGAGGCAGCAGUGGGGAAGAGAGGCCACUGGGCGAAAGCCAGAUCCAGCGAUGCCGGGGGAGUGAUGAAGGCAUUAGGGUUGUAAAGCUCUUUUACCCGGGAUGAUAAUGACAGUACCGGGAGAAAAAGCUCCGGCUAACUCCGU
RNAcentral lists this ribosomal RNA (432 nucleotides) under uncultured bacterium. RNAcentral describes it as "partial 16S ribosomal RNA". It matches the Rfam family "Bacterial small subunit ribosomal RNA", at positions 29 to 506 of the family's 1533-position model. The record is from RNAcentral.